AAUCGCCUCCUCCCUGCGUCAGACGAGACACACACCCGCAGGCGAGAGCGGAUCCUCCGGCUAGAUCCCGACGCCGCUGGCGAUGCAGGUCGAUGGCCGCCCCUAAGGGUUCACUCAGCAUGGAUUUUCCAUCCCUAGAUUCGCCUUGGCUCGACCGAGAAGAAGCAAACCAGACGGGAGAUGAGGGCACCAGCCCAAGCCGAUCCGUCGACUCUACGAGCUCUGGAAGCAACGGCCGCGCCGGAUUUCGCGGAGGUAGCGGAAGUUCCGAUGCCUUCUCCAGAUGAAGCCGCGGCCCAUCUCUCCGGUUCACCACCAUCGCCUGGGUCAUGGAACAACAGGUCAUAUAACAACCAAGCUUAAGGACUGCCGCUGGAGGAUUCCCCCCUUCGCGUUUUGGAAUCGCUCCUAUUUAUUGUUCAUCAUGAUAUAGUUUUAUGAAGAGAUAAUUCAGGCCAGAUGAUAACCAAACAUAUGAAUUAUCCCAUCUGCGCCUCACAAUCGCCUCCAUCUCCACAUCCAUGGAAGAAGAGUCCUGCCUUGGGAGAAUUUUGUUCUACAGAAAGCCAAAUAUGGCAGGAAAAUUAUAUCACUCAAGAAUUGGGUAGUGGUGGCAGGACAGAACUGGUGACGUGGGGAC
This is a long non-coding RNA of Lolium rigidum, 640 nucleotides long. RefSeq lists it as uncharacterized. The transcript has 4 exons. The record is from RefSeq and is a predicted model, not a curated record. Lineage: Eukaryota; Viridiplantae; Streptophyta; Magnoliopsida; Poales; Poaceae.